GUCUAUGCCUAUACCACCCUGGACCUUCCUGAUCUUGGAAGCUAAACAGGGCUGGGCCUGGUUAGUACUUGGAUGGAAGACUUUCUGUACCUAUGAACU
Capra hircus (goat) is the source of this 99-nucleotide ribosomal RNA. Lineage: Eukaryota; Metazoa; Chordata; Mammalia; Artiodactyla; Bovidae. The record is from Ensembl.